AGUGAACGCUGGCGGCGUGCCUAAUACAUGCAAGUCGAACGAACGAAUAAGAGCUUGCUCUUAUAAGUUAGUGGCGCACGGGUGAGUAAUAUAUAGCUAAUCUGCCUCUUAGUAGAGGAUAACAGUCGGAAACGAUUGCUAAUACUCUAUACUUCUGCUUUACAUAAGUAAAGUAGAGGAAGUUUUUCGCUAAGAGAUGAGGCUAUACUGUAUCAGCUAGUUGGUAAGGUAACGGCUUACCAAGGCUAUGACGCAUAACUGGUCUGAGAGGAUGAUCAGUCACAUUGGAACUGAGACACGGUCCAAACUCCUACGGGAGGCAGCAGUAGGGAAUAUUGCGCAAUGGGGGAAACCCUGACGCAGCAACGCCGCGUGGAGGAUGACACUUUUCGGAGCGUAAACUCCUUUUAUCGGGAAAGAAUAAUGACGGUACCCGAUGAAUAAGCAGCGGCUAACUCCGUGCCAGCAGCCGCGGUAAAAGGG
RNAcentral lists this ribosomal RNA (483 nucleotides) under uncultured Campylobacterales bacterium. Its description in RNAcentral is "bacterial SSU rRNA". It matches the Rfam family "Bacterial small subunit ribosomal RNA", at positions 29 to 528 of the family's 1533-position model. Lineage: Bacteria; Pseudomonadati; Campylobacterota; Epsilonproteobacteria; Campylobacterales. The record is from RNAcentral.